UGGGGAAUAUUGCACAAUGGGCGCAAGCCUGAUGCAGCCAUGCCGCGUGUAUGAAGAAGGCCUUCGGGUUGUAAAGUACUUUCAGCGAGGAGGAAGGCGUUGUGGUUAAUAACCGCAACGAUUGACGUUACUCGCAGAAGAAGCACCGGCUAACUCCGUGCCAGCAGCCGCGGUAAUACGGAGGGUGCAAGCGUUAUUCGGAAUUACUGGGCGUAAAGCGCACGCAGGCGGUCUGUCAAGUCGGAUGUGAAAUCCCCGGGCUCAACCUGGGAACUGCAUCCGAAACUGGCAGGCUAGAGUCUUGUAGAGGGGGGUAGAAUUCCAGGUGUAGCGGUGAAAUGCGUAGAGAUCUGGAGGAAUACCGGUGGCGAAGGCGGCCCCCUGGACAAAGACUGACGCUCAGGUGCGAAAGCGUGGGGAGCAAACA
Molecule: ribosomal RNA, 427 nt
Filed under: uncultured bacterium
Lineage: Bacteria
Description: partial 16S ribosomal RNA
Rfam family: Bacterial small subunit ribosomal RNA
Source: RNAcentral